ACAGCAGUCGCCACGGUAAUACAGAGGGUGCAAGCGUUAAUCGGAAUUACUGGGCGUAAAGCGCGCGUAGGUGGUUUGUUAAGUUGGAUGUGAAAUCCCCGGGCUCAACCUGGGAACUGCAUCCAAAACUGGCAAGCUAGAGUAUGGUAGAGGGUGGUGGAAUUUCCUGUGUAGCGGUGAAAUGCGUAGAUAUAGGAAGGAACACCAGUGGCGAAGGCGACCACCUGGACUGAUACUGACACUGAGGUGCGAAAGCGUGGGGAGCAAACAGGAUUAGAUACCCCUGUAGUCCCUGUCUCUUAUAC
Molecule: ribosomal RNA, 305 nt
Filed under: uncultured bacterium
Lineage: Bacteria
Description: partial 16S ribosomal RNA
Rfam family: Bacterial small subunit ribosomal RNA
Source: RNAcentral